This 449-nucleotide ribosomal RNA is filed under the name uncultured bacterium. Its description in RNAcentral is "partial 16S ribosomal RNA". It matches the Rfam family "Bacterial small subunit ribosomal RNA", at positions 29 to 523 of the family's 1533-position model. The record is from RNAcentral.
AAUGAACGCUGGCGGCAUGCCUAACACAUGCAAGUCGAACGAAGGCUUCGGCCUUAGUGGCGCACGGGUGCGUAACGCGUGGGAAUCUGCCCUCAGGUUCGGAAUAACAGCGAGAAAUUGCUGCUAAUACCGGAUGAUAUCGCGAGAUCAAAGAUUUAUCGCCUGAGGAUGAGCCCGCGUAGGAUUAGCUAGUUGGUGUGGUAAAGGCGCACCAAGGCGACGAUCCUUAGCUGGUCUGUGAGGAUGAUCAGCCACACUGGGACUGAGACACGGCCCUGACUCCUACGGGAGGCAGCAGUGGGGAAUAUUGGACAAUGGGCGAAAGCCUGAUCCAGCAAUGCCGCGUGAGUGAUGAAGGCCUUAGGGUUGUAAAGCUCUUUUACCCGGGAUGAUAAUGACAGUACCGGGAGAAUAAGCUCCGGCUAACUCCGUGCCAGCCGCCGCGGUAA